UACGUAGGGGGCAAGCGUUGUCCGGAUUUAUUGGGCGUAAAGAGCGUGUAGGCGGCUUGGUAGGUCCGCUGUGAAAACUCGAGCUCAACCUCGAGACGCCGGUGGAAACCAUCAGACUAGAGUCCGGAAGAGAGAGUGGAAUUCCUGGUGUAGCGGUGAAAUGCGCAGAUAUCAGGAAGAACACCCGUGGCUAAGGCGGCUCUCUAGUACGGUACUGACGCUGAGACGCGAAAGCGUGGGGAGCGAACAGG
This 251-nucleotide ribosomal RNA is filed under the name uncultured bacterium. RNAcentral's name for it is "partial 16S ribosomal RNA". It matches the Rfam family "Bacterial small subunit ribosomal RNA", at positions 524 to 776 of the family's 1533-position model. The record is from RNAcentral.